GACGAACGCUGGCGGCGUGCUUAGCACAUGCAAGUCGAACGGAAAGGCCCUGCUUUUGUGGGGUGCUCGAGUGGCGAACGGGUGAGUAACACGUGAGUAACCUGCCCUUGACUUUGGGAUAACUUCAGGAAACUGGGGCUAAUACCGGAUAGGAGCUCCUGCUGCAUGGUGGGGGUUGGAAAGUUUCGGCGGUUGGGGAUGGACUCGCGGCUUAUCAGCUUGUUGGUGGGGUAGUGGCUUACCAAGGCUUUGACGGGUAGCCGGCCUGAGAGGGUGACCGGCCACAUUGGGACUGAGAUACGGCCCAGACUCCUACGGGAGGCAGCAGUGGGGAAUAUUGCACAAUGGGCGGAAGCCUGAUGCAGCAACGCCGCGUGCGGGAUAACGGCCUUCGGGUUGUAAACCGCUUUCGCCUGUGACGAAGCGUGAGUGACGGUAAUGGGUAAAGAAGCACCGGCUAACUACGUG
Molecule: ribosomal RNA, 468 nt
Filed under: uncultured bacterium
Lineage: Bacteria
Description: partial 16S ribosomal RNA
Rfam family: Bacterial small subunit ribosomal RNA
Source: RNAcentral